This 496-nucleotide ribosomal RNA is filed under the name uncultured bacterium. RNAcentral describes it as "partial 16S ribosomal RNA". It matches the Rfam family "Bacterial small subunit ribosomal RNA", at positions 30 to 523 of the family's 1533-position model. The record is from RNAcentral.
AUUGAACGCCGGCGGAAUGCUUUACACAUGCAAGUCGAACGGUAGAGGGGGCAACCCCUCGAGAGUGGCGAACGGGUGAGUAAUAUAUCGGAACGUGCCCAGUCGUGGGGGAUAACGUAGCGAAAGUUACGCUAAUACCGCAUACGAUCUAAGGAUGAAAGCGGGGGAUCGCAAGACCUCGCGCGAUUGGAGCGGCCGAUAUCAGAUUAGGUAGUUGGUGGGGUAAAGGCUCACCAAGCCAACGAUCUGUAGCUGGUCUGAGAGGACGACCAGCCACACGGGAACUGAGACACGGUCCAGACUCCUACGGGAGUCAGCAGUGGGGAAUUUUGGACAAUGGACGCAAGUCUGACCCAGCCAGUCCGCGUGCAGGAUGAAGGCCCUCGGGUUGUAAACUGCUUUUGUACAGAACGAAAAGGUUUCUACUAAUACCAGGAGCUCAUGACGGUACUGUAAGAAUAAGCACCGACUAACUACGUGCCAGCCGCCGCGGUAA